Small nucleolar RNA from Astyanax mexicanus (Mexican tetra), 76 nucleotides. Its record names the gene SNORD83. It matches the Rfam family "Small nucleolar RNA SNORD83". Rfam says of the family: U83 (SNORD83) and U84 (SNORD84) are members of the C/D class of snoRNA which contain the C (UGAUGA) and D (CUGA) box motifs. Lineage: Eukaryota; Metazoa; Chordata; Actinopteri; Characiformes; Acestrorhamphidae. The record is from Ensembl.
GCCACAUGAUGUGAAACAGAUUGCAAUAGCACACGUGCAAAGAUGACUUACUAUCUAUCACCCUAGACUGAUGGCU